GCAUAAGGAACGGGGGGAACAGGAAGAGAACAAAGAAUUAAGUGGAAGAAGGGGGGCGGUAUUCAAGAUGUUGCAUUUGUUCCUUUCUUUGGACCGGUUUCUGUCACCCGCGUCUUUAUCUUUCAUUUCAUGCACGACGCGAGAAAGGAAGGAAGAAAGGAAGGUCAGACAAGGAGGCAGCUCAGGAGAUAAAAAAAAAAUCGAUG
Molecule: non-coding RNA, 206 nt
Filed under: Chromera velia
Lineage: Eukaryota; Chromeraceae
Source: RNAcentral